GACGAACGCUGGCGGCGUGCUUAACACAUGCAAGUCGAACGGAAAGGCCCCUUCGGGGGUACUCGAGUGGCGAACGGGUGAGUAACACGUGAGUAACCUGCCCUUGACUUCGGGAUAACUUCAGGAAACUGGGGCUAAUACCGGAUAGGAAUCCUUGCUGCAUGGUGGGGGUUGGAAAGCUUCGGCGGUUUUGGAUGGACUCGCGGCUUAUCAGCUUGUUGGUGGGGUAGUGGCUUACCAAGGCUUUGACGGGUAGCCGGCCUGAGAGGGCGACCGGCCACAUUGGGACUGAGAGACGGCCCAGACUCCUACGGGAGGCAGCAGUGGGGAAUAUUGCACAAUGGGCGGAAGCCUGAUGCAGCAACGCCGCGUGCGGGAUGACGGCCUUCGGGUUGUAAACCGCUUUCAGCAGGGGCGAAGCUUGUGGUGACGGUACCUGCAGAAGAAGCACCGGCUAACUACGUG
This 465-nucleotide ribosomal RNA is filed under the name uncultured bacterium. Its description in RNAcentral is "partial 16S ribosomal RNA". It matches the Rfam family "Bacterial small subunit ribosomal RNA", at positions 28 to 507 of the family's 1533-position model. The record is from RNAcentral.